Molecule: ribosomal RNA, 403 nt
Filed under: uncultured bacterium
Lineage: Bacteria
Description: partial 16S ribosomal RNA
Rfam family: Bacterial small subunit ribosomal RNA
Source: RNAcentral
GACGAACGCUGGCGGCGUGCCUAAUACAUGCAAGUCGAACGCAGUGGGGACGGGUGAGUAACACGUGGGUAACCUCCCAUCAGAGGGGAUAACACGUGGCAACAGGUGCUAAACCGCUACUGAUGGAUGGACCCGCGGUGCAUUAGCUAGUUGGUGAGGUAACGGCGCACCAAGGCCACGAUGCAUAGCCGACCUGAGAGGAUGAACGGCCACACUGGAACUGAGACACGGACCAGACUCCUACGGGAGGCAGCAGUAGGGAAUAUUCGACAAUGGACGAAAGUCUGACCGAGCCACGCCGCGUGAGUGAAGAAGGUUUUCGGAUCGUAAAGCUCUGUUGUUAGAGAAGCGGUAUCUAACCAGAAAGCCACGGCUAACUACGUGCCAGCAGCCGCGGUAAUUC